UACGGAAGGCAGCAGUGGGGAAUAUUGCACAAUGGGCGCAAGCCUGAUGCAGCCAUGCCGCGUGUAUGAAGAAGGCCUUCGGGUUGUAAAGUACUUUCAGUCGUGAGGAAGGUGUUAAGGUUAAUAACCUUAGCAAUUGACGUUAGCGACAGAAGAAGCACCGGCUAACUCCGUGCCAGCAGCCGCGGUAAUACGGAGGGUGCGAGCGUUAAUCGGAAUUACUGGGCGUAAAGGGCACGCAGGCGGUUAAUUAAGUUGGAUGUGAAAUCCCCGGGCUUAACCUGGGAAUGGCAUUCAAGACUGGUUAGCUAGAGUCUUGUAGAGGGGGUAGAAUUCCAUGUGUAGCGGUGAAAUGCGUAGAGAUGUGGAGGAAUACCGGCGGCGAAGGCGGCCCCUGGACAAAGACUGACGCUCAUGUGCGAAAGCGUGGGGAGCAAACAGGAUUAGAUACC
RNAcentral lists this ribosomal RNA (452 nucleotides) under uncultured bacterium. RNAcentral describes it as "bacterial SSU rRNA". It matches the Rfam family "Bacterial small subunit ribosomal RNA", at positions 340 to 786 of the family's 1533-position model. The record is from RNAcentral.